Molecule: ribosomal RNA, 496 nt
Filed under: uncultured bacterium
Lineage: Bacteria
Description: bacterial SSU rRNA
Rfam family: Bacterial small subunit ribosomal RNA
Source: RNAcentral
AGAGUUUGAUCAUGGCUCAGGAUUAACGUUGGUAGUAUGCCUAACACAUGCAAGUCGAGCGGAAAGUAGUAGCAAUAUUGCUUUUAGCGGCGAACGGGUGAGUAAUGCUUAUCUAACUUGCCAAUUAGUGGGGGAUAACCCUGGGAAAUCAGGGCUAAUACCGCAUUUGUUGCUUCGGCAAUGAAAGGGAAUCGCAAGAUUCUCGCUAAUUGAGAGGGAUAAGUCGUAUUAGUUAGUUGGUGGGGUAAUGGCCUACCAAGACAAUGAUGCGUAGCCAGGCUGAGAGGCUGAUUGGCCACAAGGGAACUGAGACACGGCCCAGACUCCUACGGGAGGCAGCAGCAAGGAAUUUUCGUCAAUGGGCGCAAGCCUGAACGAGCAACGCCGCGUGGAGGAUGACGGCCUUCGGGUUGUAAACUCCUUUUUCGGGGGACGAUAAUGACGGUACCCCGGGAAUAAGGCUCGGCUAACUCUGUGCCAGCCGCCGCGGUAAUAC